Armigeres subalbatus is the source of this 373-nucleotide long non-coding RNA. RefSeq lists it as uncharacterized. The transcript has 3 exons. The record is from RefSeq and is a predicted model, not a curated record. Lineage: Eukaryota; Metazoa; Arthropoda; Insecta; Diptera; Culicidae.
AAAAUAAUGAAACUGUAUGGUGCACAAAGUGUCUUUUUCAUUGCAGUUUCUGCUGCUGGGAAAGCGGUAGAUCACUAUGACUUCUGUACCGUGAAAUGAAGCUUAUGAUAUAUAAAAUACUGCUGCUUGCUGGUCACUGAUUGAAGAUCGUUCAGCUACCUUUGGCCAAUCUUACCAACGGGAUAUAAUAAGAACUGAUGCAGGUUUAUAGCUAUAUGUAUUGUCUAUUCGAAACAAAGUUAGUACGCUUUUUAAACUGAUGUUGGAUUUUUCUCCAGAUACAGGCAACCCACUUAACUUUGGAAGUAGUGCGCUGGAUUCGUCUAAAGAUAUGCUAAACAACCGGAGGAAAAUAAAAUAAUUUGUAAAACAA